CUACGGGGUGCUGCAGGCGCGAAACCUCUACAAUGCACGGAAGUGUGAUAGGGGGACUCGAAGUGCUCAUGGAAACAUGGGCUUUUCUUAUGAUUAAAACUCAUAGGGAAUAAGUGGUGGGCAAGACUGGUGCCAGCAGCCGCGGUAACACCAGCGCCACAAGUGGCAAUCGCAUAUUGGGCCUAAAGCGUCCGUAGUUGGUUUGAUACAUCUCUUGUGAAAUUGUUGGGCUUAACUCAACAGCGUGCGGGAGACACGGUCUUACUUGGAACCGGGAGGAGUCAGAAGUAUUUCGGGGGGAGCGGUAAAAUGUGAUAAUCCUCGAAGGACUACCUGUGGCAAAGGCGUCUGACUAGAACGGAUUUGACAAUCAGGGACGAAGGCUAGGGGAGCAAACCGGAUUAGAUACCCGCGUAGUC
RNAcentral lists this ribosomal RNA (419 nucleotides) under uncultured archaeon. RNAcentral describes it as "partial 16S ribosomal RNA". It matches the Rfam family "Archaeal small subunit ribosomal RNA", at positions 323 to 746 of the family's 1478-position model. The record is from RNAcentral.